Molecule: long non-coding RNA, 1396 nt
Organism: Xenopus laevis (African clawed frog)
Lineage: Eukaryota; Metazoa; Chordata; Amphibia; Anura; Pipidae
Exons: 2
Source: RefSeq, a predicted model, not a curated record
UGAGUGUGACAGGUGAGAGUGGGGAGGGAAGGGGUUAAUGAGUGUGACAGGUGAGAGUGGGGAGGGAAGGGGUUAAUGAGUGUGACAGGUGAGAGUGGGGAGGGAAGGGGUUAAUGAGUGUGACAGGUGAGAGUGGGGAGGGAAGGGGUUAAUGAGUGUGACAGGUGAGUGGGGAGGGAAGGGGUUAAUGAGUGUGACAGGUGAGAGUGGGGAGGGAAGGGGUUAAUGAGUGUGACAGGUGAGAGUGGGGAGGGAAGGGGUUAAUGAGUGUGACAGGUGAGAGUGGGGAGGGAAAGGGUUAAUAAGUGUGACAGGUGAGAGUGGGGAGGGAAGGGGUUAAUGAGUGUGACAGGUGAGAGUGGGGAGGGAAAGGGUUAAUAAGUGUGACAGGUGAGAGUGGGGAGGGAAGGGGUUAAUGAGUGACAGGUGAGAGUGGGGAGGGAAGGGGUUAAUGAGUGAGUCAGGCCCAGGUUGGGGGGAGAUCUGAGAGUCAGUGACAGAUGAUAAUGGGGGGGAGGGGUAUCACUUCCUGUCACGGGGAAGAGAAUCGCUGCACAGGUGAGAGAGAGAGAAAGAGAGAGAAGGACAUAGAGGAGAGAUAAAGAAGAAUAAACAGACAGAGGAGAUAUGAGGAGCCAGUGGUUGUGACAGAAAGUGUCGCCUCAGUUACCCGGGUGGAGCCGAUGUCCAUCAUGACCUCUUCGAAGGCCGCAGUCUCCUCCGCUUGUCUCUGGCGCUGCAGGGCGAUCUUUUCGCUGAAUUUGCGCGGGUUGGAGGACGAGGCCGAGCCCGGCCCAUUGGCCCCCGCCGAAGCCGCCAUCUUUCGCUCCUUCCGCAGCCGCCGAGAAAGAGCCCGGUGCAAAACACAGCGGCGAGUCACGCCGGGAAACGUAGUUCCCAAGCGUCGCCGAAUUCCAGAAAGUCAAAGCGAUACCGCCACUAGCGAAACUACAUCUCCCGUCGGCCAGCGCGUUACGUGGGCAGCGGACGGCCCACUGCUUGUCGGGAAUUGAAGUUCAAAGCGCUUCACAUUAGACGGACAAGAACCUGGUAAAAAACUACAAUUCCCAUGGGGCACCGAGGCGGUGAUAGUCUCUGGCCCGCCGGAUUAGGCGUGAAUUGCGUUCUUGCGGCUUGUGCUUUCGGUUGUGUUUAUGGAGGGAAACAAAGGGGCGGGACUAGAGACGACGCAAUUUGUGUGACACUGGGAAAGGGAAAAACGCGGUGUAAUUUGCCUGUAGGAAUAUUAGGCUCGGAUAUGGGCUGUGUGACUGGGAUACGGUGUGAAUGUGUGACUGGGGUAGGACACACGUACUGGAGGCAACUGACAGCGACCCCCUGUCUCGCCCUUCAUGUCUUUUACUAUUUCAAUAAAAGCUCCGGCUGCUCCCCCUCA